GAUGAAGAACGUAGCGAAAUGCGAUAAGUAAUGUGAAUUGCAGAAUUCAGUGAAUCAUCGAAUCUUUGAACGCACCUUGCGCCCUUUGGCCAUUCCGAAGGGCAUGCCUGUUUGAGUAUCAUGAACACCUCAACUCUUUAUGGUUUUCCAUGAUGAGCUUGGACUUUGGGGGUUUUGCUGGCCUAUGGUCGGCUCCUCUAAAAUAAAUCAGCUUACCGGUGUUUGGUGGGUAUCAUGGGUGUGAUAACUAUCUACGCUUGUGGUUUUUCCACCAGGUAACCUUCGACAGCGGAGGUUCACUGGAGCUCAUAGAUGUCUCUCCUCAGCGAGGACAGCCCUUUGAAUGUUUGAUCCCAAAUCAGGUAGGACUACCCGCUGAACUUAAGCAUAUCAAUAAGCGGGGA
RNAcentral lists this unclassified non-coding RNA (404 nucleotides) under soil metagenome. RNAcentral describes it as "partial contains 5.8S ribosomal RNA, internal transcribed spacer 2, and large subunit ribosomal RNA". The stretch from base 1 to 121 matches the Rfam family "5.8S ribosomal RNA", at positions 35 to 154 of the family's 154-position model. The record is from RNAcentral.